This 239-nucleotide ribosomal RNA is filed under the name uncultured bacterium. RNAcentral's name for it is "partial 16S ribosomal RNA". It matches the Rfam family "Bacterial small subunit ribosomal RNA", at positions 67 to 334 of the family's 1533-position model. The record is from RNAcentral.
CGCACCUUUCGGGGUGAGUGGCAGACGGGUGAGUAACACGUGGGAACGUGCCCUCUAGUUCGGAAUAACCCAGGGAAACUUGGGCUAAUACCGGAUACGCCCUUCGGGGGAAAGAUUUAUUGCUAGAGGAUCGGCCCGCGUCUGAUUAGCUAGUUGGUAGGGUAAUGGCCUACCAAGGCGACGAUCCGUAGCUGGUCUGAGAGGAUGAUCAGCCACACUGGGACUGAGACACGGCCCAG